RNAcentral lists this ribosomal RNA (253 nucleotides) under uncultured bacterium. RNAcentral's name for it is "partial 16S ribosomal RNA". It matches the Rfam family "Bacterial small subunit ribosomal RNA", at positions 524 to 776 of the family's 1533-position model. The record is from RNAcentral.
UACGGAGGGUGCAAGCGUUGUUCGGAAUUACUGGGCGUAAAGCGCGCGCAGGUGGUUGGAUAAGUCAGAUGUGAAAGCCCACGGCUCAACCGUGGACGUGCAUUUGAAACUGUCCGACUUGAGUACUGGAGGGGGUAGUGGAAUUCCCGGUGUAGAGGUGAAAUUCGUAGAUAUCGGGAGGAAUACCGGUGGCGAAGGCGACUACCUGGCCAGAUACUGACACUGAGGUGCGAAAGCGUGGGGAGCAAACAGG